This 255-nucleotide ribosomal RNA is filed under the name uncultured bacterium. RNAcentral's name for it is "partial 16S ribosomal RNA". It matches the Rfam family "Bacterial small subunit ribosomal RNA", at positions 524 to 776 of the family's 1533-position model. The record is from RNAcentral.
UACGGGGGGAGCAAGGCGUUGUUCGGAUUCACUGGGCGUAAAGGGUGCGCAGGUGGGUUGGCAAGUUUCGAUGUGAAAGCCCCGGGCUUAACCCGGGAAUGGCAUUGGAUACUGCUGAUCUGGAGGAUCGGAGGGGGGACUGGAAUUCUUGGUGUAGCAGUGAAAUGCGUAGAUAUCAAGAGGAACACCAGUGGCGAAGGCGAGUCCCUGGACGAUACCUGACACUGAGGCACGAAAGCCAAGGGAGCAAACAGG